UACUUAAUCAAGCAUAAGUCAGAAACCUUUGAAGAGUUCAAGGAGUUUAAACAUGAAGUGGAGAAUCAGUUUGGCAGGAACAUUAAGAUGCUUCGAUCCGAUCGAGGUGGUGAGUAUCUUAUCACAGAGUUCCUUGACUAUAUUAAGGAAUGUGGGAUUGUCUCACAAUUGAUACCUCCCAGGACACCGCUGUGGAAUGGUGUGGCUGCGAGGCGUAAUCGGACCUUGUUAGACAUGGUUCGUUCCAUCAUGAGUCAAGCUUCGCUACCAAUCUCAUUCUGGGGGUAUGCCUUAGAGACUGCCGCCUAUAUCCUUAAUCUAGUCCAUACAAAGAAGGUUGCUAAAACUGUUGGAUAAGGUGUCUAAGUCCAUAACUUAUUUGGUAUAUACUUGACCCGACCCGACAUGGUCCAUUUGGGUUGCACUUCACCCGAAUAAUUUAUGGAUAAUUUUAUGAGAGUUAUACACAUAUGUUUAUUAAUAUAUUAUAAGCUAUAAUAUAUUAAUAUGGAGUCAUGUUAUUUAAUUAGUCUUAGUCUUAAAUUAAUUAUGAAUUAAUUUAGAGAUUAAAGGAAGACUAAUUAGAUUAUGGGCUAUUGGUUUUAUAUGGUGUGGGCUAACACUCAUUUGUUAAUGGGCUAGUCUUAUAUGGAAGUCCAUGGAUGAUCCAUGGAGCUUUUAACCCAUGGAUCCUUGGAAAAGGGAAGGUCAUGGGUUAUUAGGGUUUCACCCUAACCAUGUACACUAUAUAAGCAUGCUUAUGUUGCAUGAAAUANUGUGUGGCCGAAAAUACAAGAGUGUGUAUACUCUCUCAAAGUUUUCCAAGAGUUUGUGGUGUUUGUGAUUCCAUUUGAGGCAUUCACACUAUUGGUGCUUGGCCCUCAAACUCCUAAGAACCCAACACAACAAAGGUAUGUAAUCUCUUCUAACUCUUUUAUGUUGAAAUGUUCCCCAUGCCAUGUUAGAUAGGUUAUAAACCUUGGAAAAUUAUUAUUUUGCAUGUAUUUAGACAAACAUAGAUCCAAGGUUUAUUAGGGUUGCAUGCACACUUAGGAAGUGUUAGAUUGCUCAAAACCCAACAGUGGUAUCAGAGCCUAGGCUUGCUUGUUUGAUACUUGAUGCAAAAUAGUGAAAAAAGUCGAAAUCGUUGCUGUCUGCAUGCUAGACUCGCCGAGUCCAUUGGGGGGACUCGCCGAGUCCAAGGCAAACUUCAACCUACUCGACGAGUCCGUUCGUGCACUCGGCGAGUAGGAUCGAAAGAAUGCAGAAUCUCGACUUUUGCUGCUGGAAAUGGACUGGAAACAUUACCCUAAAUUGUUUUGGUGUUGUAAAACUUAUUUUAGUUGGUGUAAUGGUUGUUCUAAUCCAUUUACAAUAGCAUAUAUCAAAAAUCCAUGAUUUUAUGUGUUCAUAUAAUUCUUGAAUUUUUGAUGAUCAUGUUCAUGUUCUUAUGAAUUUAGAAAAUGAUAGGAAUUAUUUGCUGAAUUGUUUAGAAUUAAUUCUUAAUCAUUUAUGUGUUUUAAUGGAGUCCAUAAUUUGUCCUCAAGUUAUGGAUUACCAAAGGUCACUUUCAUUUAACACACACUUAAAACACAUAAGUUACAUGAAAAUGAAGAGUCUUCAUUUUUAUGAACCUUUAAUUCAUAAGUUAUGAAAUGAAGAGUUUUGCAAAGUUACAAAACUUGUCCUCAAGUUUUGGAAUUUGUAAAGUUUCACACACUUUAAUAAACUUUAAUUCCAAACCUUAGAGUUUUAAUAGUUAAAAUUCAACCCUUAUACUAUUUAUAACAUUAAUGGUUAAUUAUUAUAUAUAUGUAUAAGAAUAAGUCGUUUUACCGUUAGUAGGCCUCAUUCACGAAGCCGGUCUAUAAGGUGGGUAUAAGGUUGUUGCCUAUAAAAUGGCGACUUAAUGGGUGUAUACUCUCACCCACCGCUUGCUUGAUCGGUGGAGGGUCGUUAGCCGAACGGGUAGAACAACGACUUUAAAUCCUCAUUAAAAGUAUAAUGAAUAUUAUAAAAUAACUAAACUCUUUUAAUUCCCAAUCUUAGUUAUUUUAGGAAAAUGUGAACAUGGUGCUAAUCCAUGGAAUUCACACUUUGUACCUUACCAAGUCGUUAGUGGAGCGUGUGUGGUUAACCGGCACACUAAUUAGACUAGUAAGGAUCACGAAGGGUAACUUAAUGUUGUCAUAGAUCAAUGGAGCGUGUGUGGUUAACCGGCACAUUGAUUAGGUGAUAAUAUUAGGAGUACCAAGUGAGUUAGCAUGGUUAUUCACACCUUGUUUUGUGAUCCUCGGCAUCCCAGUCACAAAACUUGAAGGGCACAAUCGAGAUUGAAACAUGCCAUUGAAAAGUUCAAUGAAUCUCAAAAGAAUCUAGGAAUUUCAAAUCCAAUUAAACCUAAUUAAUCAUUUCGUUUUCAUGGUGGAAAUUGGUGAAUCGUCAUUCGCCUACCUUUCAAAUAUAUUAUUACUUAGAUUACGGCAUCCCUCUUCUAAGUGUAAUAUAUUGUGAUUGGAUCCUAGCCUUAAUAUUACAUUUGGGUGUCUUAUUAAGGAUCCUAAAUAUCUAAUCUAAACUUACUUUCUUCUUUCAGAUGUCUUCCAACACUAAUGCUUCAGGCUCUAACCCAACUGGUUCUUUCUCUCUCAUGAAUCUUUGUGGGAGGGUCAUCUUUGAUGGUUCCAACUUCAUGGAUUGGAUUAGGAACAUCAGGAUGGUUACUCGUUACGAGGACAAGGAAUAUGUCCUCGAUAAGGAGUUAAAAGAACUUGAUGAGUCUACUGCUACUCCUGAGGAGAUCGCUGAAUUCAGGACUCAUGAGAGAGAUGCUACUAAGGUGGCAUGUAUCAUGAUGGCCACGAUGACAGCCGAGCUCCAAAAGUCAUAUGAAGAUUUCUACCCUUUUGAGAUGCACCAAGACUUGAUGGAAAGGUACCAUCAGAGUGCUCGUCAGGAGCGGUAUGAAAUAAUCUCCUCCAUAAUAACUACCCGCAUGAAGGACGGUGAAUCCGUCACGGGCCACAUGCAAAAGAUGCAAAGGUAUGUGGACCGUUUGCUGAAGCUGAAUGUUAACAUCCCCGAGGAGUUAGCAAUUGACAUCAUUUUGCACUCCUUGCCUUCUUGUUAUGAUCAUUUUCGAAUGACAUAUCAUAUGAACAAGGAGGAAGUUACCCUCAGCAAGCUUCAAGGACUCUUGAAGACCGCUGAAACCGGUCUUAAGGGUAAAGCGGUUGUUACCUCUACUACUCCUACUCCAACUUCUACCCCUGUUUUAGCUAUUGGGCAAGGCAAAGGGAAAAAGAGGAAGCACCCUUCGAAGGGUACCAAGGGAAAGUCUCUUGAAGGCUCCUCAUCCAAGACUAAGAACGGUUCUGUCACUCCUUCUGCCAUUCCAAAGGAUGCUGAAUGCUUUUAUUGCCAUGAAAAGGCACACUGGAAGCGAAACUGCCCUAAGUACUUGCAGGAUCUAAAGGAUGGGAAAGUGAAACCCACCUAUGCAGGUAUUUACACUAUAUUGUCUAAUUACUCAACAUAUUCUAACUCUUGGGUGCUUGAUACAGGAUGUGGUAUUCACAUAUGUUCUGAUUUGCAGGGCCUAAGAAGAAGUGAGGAUGUGGAGCACGGGAAGAUAAACUUAAUCAUGGGGAAUAGGAAGGCUUCACCUGUUUCCAAGAUUGGAGUUUAUACUUUGUUGCUUAAUAAUGGGUUAAAAUUAGAUUUGAAUAAAUGUGUAUACUCGUCUGAAAUGGCGAGGAAUAUUAUUUCUUUUCAUGCUUUGUACAAACAAGGUUUUACCUUUUCGUUUGAUAAUGAAUGUGGUGGUAUUAAUGCUUUCUUUAAUAAUGUGUUUUAUUUUAAAGCAUUACCUUGUGAUGGCGUGUAUGAAACUGUGUCGAUUGUAGACAACUUAGGAAAUAAUGUGUUGUAUAUUGAUUCUUCUACUAGCCUAGAUAAAGCAUCAUUGUGGCAUUGUCGUCUUGGACAUGUAAACAAGAAACGCAUAGACCAACUCCAAAAGAGUGGAGUCUUGGAAUCAUUUGACCUCAAAUCAGAUGAUAGUUGUGAAUCUUGUCUACUUGGAAAAAUGACAAAAUCACCCUUCACUGGAACUUGUGAGAGGGGUGAAGGUUUGUUGGACCUAAUACAUACUGAUGUAUGUGGGCCAUUCAAAACCGCCACAAGGGACGCUAAUCGGUAUUAUGUGACUUUUAUUGAUGAUUAUAGUAGAUAUGGGUAUGUCUACUUGAUCAAACACAAGUCCGAAACCUUUGAAAGGUUUAAGGAAUUCAAACAGGAAGUAGAAAAUCAAUUGGGCAGGAACAUUAAGAUGCUUCGAUCCGAUCGAGGUGGUGAGUAUCUUAGUACCGAGUUCCUUGACUAUCUUAAGGAGUGUGGGAUUGUCUCACAAUUGACUCCUCCCAGGACACCACAGCUGAAUGGUGUAGCUGAGAGGCGUAAUCGAACCUUGUUGGACAUGGUUCGCUCUAUGAUGAGUCGAGUUUCGCUACCAAUCUCUUUUUGGGGGUAUGCCUUAGAGACUGCCGCCCAUAUCCUUAAUCUAGUCCCUACAAAGAAGGUUACCAAAACACCUCAUGAGAUGUGGACUGGGAAGGUUCCCAAUUUAGACCACAUCAAGAUUUGGGGUUGCGAGGCUUUCGUGAGGCGUGUGACUCAUGAAAAGAUCGAACCCCGAAGUGAAAGGUGUAUUUUCAUCGGCUACCCACAGAAAUCUUUUGGUUACCUCUUCUACAGACCCAGUGAGAAUGUGGUCUUUGUAGCAAGAAGAGGGGUCUUCCGUGAGACGGGGUUUAUAAGCCAAGGAGACAGUGGGAGGCAAAUUGAUCUUGAAGAAAUUCAAGAAGCAAUUGGUGAAGGAACCUCAAACACUAGCAAUCAAUCUGAGGAGGAAACUCCUGUUGAGCAAGCUGACAUGUCUGUACCUCCGAGGCGUUCCACACGGGUUAGGAACACACCUUCGUUUUAUUAUGGCUUUCAUAUUACUACGGAAGGUGAUACGUUUAUCAGUGAUAGUACACUGGUAAAUUUGGAUGAACCUAGCAGUGUUAAGGAAGCCAUGGUAGGGCCGGAAUCUGCUAAAUGGAAGGAGGCUAUGGACAGAGAGAUACAGUCCAUGUAUGACAAUCAAGUUUGGAACUUGGUUGACAAUGUACCAGGCCGUAAAACAGUCGGGUGCAAAUGGAUCUUCAAGAAGAAGACCAACAUGGAAGGAAAAGUGCAUACUUAUAAGGCUCGACUGGUUGCGAAGGGUUUUACUCAGACUCAAGGUAUUGAUUAUGAUGAAACUUUCUCGCCAGUAGCAAAGAGUAAGUCUAUUAGGGUUAUGGUAGCCGUUGCAGCAUUUCAUGAUUAUGAAAUAUGGAAAAUGGAUGUCAAAACCGCUUUCCUUAAUGGAAAGUUGGCUGAGGAUGUGUACAUGAAUCAGCCAAAGGGUUUUGUCAGUGCAGAGUACCCUAAUAGAGUAUGCAAGCUUGAGAAAUCCAUUUAUGGAUUAAAACAAGCAUCUCGUAGCUGGAAUCUUUGUUUUGAUGAGAAGGUAAAAGAGUUUGGCUUCUCGAGAAGCGAAGAUGAGUCUUGCGUGUAUGUCAGAGCUAGUGGGAGUAUAGUUAGCUUCUUGGUACUGUAUGUGGAUGACAUACUACUUAUAGGAAAUGACAUCCCAACCUUGCAGGAGGUUAAGUCCUGGCUUGGGAAGUGCUUUGCUAUGAGGAACCUAGGGGAGGCUGCCUAUAUCCUAGGGAUAAGGAUAUUAAGAGAAAGGAGUAGAAGACUAAUUGGACUUAGUCAGAGUAUCUACUUGGAUAAGGUGUUGAAAAGGUUCAACAUGGAGAAUUCCAAGAAAGGAGAUUUACCGAUCCAAAGCAAUACCAAACUGAGUAAGACUCAGAGUCCGAGUACAGAGGCUGAGAUAGCUGAGAUGAGCCAAUUACCAUAUGCUUCCGCAGUUGGCUCGAUCAUGUAUGCUAUGACUUGUACCCGUCCUGAUGUGGCAUUUGCUUUGAGCAUGGUCAGCAGGUAUCAGGGGAACCCUGGCAAGGCUCAUUGGACCGCGGUAAAGAACAUUCUCAAGUACCUGCGGAGGACUAAGGAUUGGGUCCUUACCCUUGGUGGCAGUGAUGACUUGAGAAUAUUAGGGUAUAGUGAUGCUGGUUUUCAGACUGAUAGGGAUAAUUUCCGCUCUCAGUCGGGCUGGAUCUUUACCUUAAAUGGAGGGGCAAUUUCUUGGAAGAGUUCCAAGCAGGAGACGGUGGCUGAUUCGACUUGUGAAUCAGAGUAUAUAGCAGCGAGUGAAGCAGCGAAGGAGGCGAUAUGGCUAAAGAACUUCAUCGGAGACCUUGGAGUUGUACCAGCUAUUAAGGAACCUAUAGAGAUUUUCUGUGACAACAAUGNAUUUCCGCUCUCAGUCGGGCUGGAUCUUUACCUUAAAUGGAGGGGCAAUUUCUUGGAAGAGUUCCAAGCAGGAGACGGUGGCUGAUUCGACUUGUGAAUCAGAGUAUAUAGCAGCGAGUGAAGCAGCGAAGGAGGCGAUAUGGCUAAAGAACUUCAUCGGAGACCUUGGAGUUGUACCAGCUAUUAAGGAACCUAUGGAGAUUUUCUGUGACAACAAUAGUGCGGUUGCCUUAGCCAAGGAACCAAGAGAUCAUGGCAGAUCCCGACACAUUGACAGAAAAUAUCAUUUCAUAAGACACAAGAUUGAAGAAGGACUCCUUGUGGAAAAGAGGGUAUCGUUAGAUGAGAGUCCUGCAGAUCCCCUUACGAAGGGACUGACGAGGGUUAUGUAUUUUCAGCAUGCGAGGCGCAUCGGGCUGAGGGACGAUAUUAGUUUUACAGAUUAGAUUGUUUUCCUGAAACUUGUAAAAUGUAAUCGACAUUUGAUGAUGAAUAAAAUUUGUGAUUUAUUUAUGAGUAAAGUGUUACUAUCAUUGUCAAUUAUUUACUAUUGUUUCAGUUUUGCAUGUUUUGACUUCCAGAAUAAUUAAUUUAUUCAAACCUCCACAAUCGGUCAUACGUCGGAAGUAGGUAUGAAUCAAGAUUGUCAUGAAUUGGGUUUGUAGAUGGCUAAAGGUGUUUAGACAUGGCAAUGGUUGCUGCAACGUUCAUGAGUGCUCAUAAGUUAUGAGUAUUGGUAUAAACCCACGCUCACUUGUAUCAGUUCAUGGAAUUUAUCUCGAGUGAUCAUGAGACGAUAAUAUCAUAUAAGUCUUCAAACCUAGAGAUAUGAGUUGUUACCUAUGAGUUGGUUGUGCAUUGAUUGCACGUAAACGCAUCAGUAACUUGAUGUUAUAAAACGUGCCUUUGUGUACAAUUCAACAAGUAGUAGAACAAGCAUAUGAGUCGAAGUUUAUCUGUUCCUUCUAGAAAUAGAAGCGAUAUCUGGGCCCCUCGAUGAUUUUUUUGUGACCUAUGUACCGGCCGGUCAGAACUAAAUUGAUGUGUUCGAUUAAGUUCUUUGUCAAACAAAUCGAAAAUCGGGAAACAAACUGCUGGACAAUAAGUACGACGUUGUUCCAUGUAUUUGUCCGGCUGAUAUCAUGAGAACAGAGGAUUAUAUGAUCACUUGUCUUAAAAUGGCGCUUCAUAGUUCAACAGAGUUUUCGAGAGCUACGAUUGCUGGUUGGUUCCUGAAGUAACAUACGCAAAUAUAGUUAUUAGACUUAUCCAAGUGGGAGUCUGUUGGAUAAGGUGUCUAAGUCCAUAACUUAUUUGGUAUAUACUUGACCCGACCCGGCAUGGUCCAUUUGGGUUGCACUUCACCCGAACUAUUUAUGGAUAAUUUUAUGAGAGUUAUACACAUAUGUUUAUUAAUAUAUUAUAAGUUAUAAUAUAUUAAUAUGAAGUCAUGUUAUUUAAUUAGUCUUAGUCUUAAAUUAAUUAUGAAUUAAUUUAGAGAUUAAAAGGAAGACUAAUUAGAUUAUGGGCUAUUGGUUUUAUAUGGUGUGGGCUAACACUCAUUUGUUAAUGGGCUAGGCUUAUAUGGAAGUCCAUGGAUGAUCCAUGGAGCUUUUAACCCAUGGAUCCUUGGAAAAGGAAAGGUCAUGGGUUAUUAGGGUUUCACCCUAACCAUGUACACUAUAUAAGCAUGCUUAUGUUGCAUGAAAUAGCCACUAGUGUGUGUGCUUGUGUGUGGCCGAAAAUUACAAGUGUGUGUACACUCUCUAAAGGUUUCCAAGUGUUUGUGGUGAUUUGUGAUUUCCAUUUGAGGCAUUCACACUAUUGGUGCUUGGCUCUCAAACUCCAAGGAAUCAAUCUCAUCAAAAGGUAUGUAAUCUCAUCUAACUCUUUUAUGUUUAAAAGUACCCCAUGCCAUGUUAGAUAGGUUAUGAACCUUGGAAAAUUAUUAUUUUGCAUGUAUUAGACAAACAUAGAUCCAAGGUUUAUUAGGGUUGCAUGCACACUUAGGAAGUGUUAGAUUGCUCAAAACCCAACAAAAACACCUCACGAGAUGUGGACUAAAAAGUUCCCAAUACAGAUCACAUCAAGAUUUAGGGUUGCGAGGCUUUUGUGAGGCGCGAGACUCACGAUAAGCUCGAACCUCAAAGUGAGAGGUGUAUUCUCAUCGGCUACUCACAUAAAUCCUUUGGUUACCUCUUCUACAUACCCAAUGAUAAUGUGGUCUUUGUAGCAAGGAGAGGAGUCUUUUGUGAGAGAGAGUUCAUAAGCCAAGGAAACAGUGGGAGGCAAAUUGAUCCUGAAGAAAUUCAAGAGUCAAGCGGUGAAGGAACUUCAAACUCUNCUCAAACCCUAGAAAUCAAUCUGAGGAGAAAACUCCUGUUGAUCCGACCAAUGAGUUUGUACCUAUGAGGCGUUCCACGAGAGUUAGGAAUGCACCUGAGCAUUACUAUGUUUUCCAUAUGACUAUAGAAGGUGAUACACUUAUCAGCGAUAAUACACUGGUAAGUAUGGAUGAACCUAACAGCUACACAGAAGCCAUGGCAGGCCCUGAUGCUGAUAAAUGGAAAGAGGCUAUGGAAAGCGAGAUUCAAUCCAUGUAUGAUAAUCAAGUUUGGAACUUGGUUGACAAUGUACCUGGUNAAGACCGUCGGGUGCAAAUGGAUCUUCAAGAAGAAGACCGACAUGGAUGGUAAUAUACACACUUAUAAGGCACGAUUGGUUGCAAAGGGCUUUUCUCAAACUGCUGGAGUUGAUUAUCAUGAGACCUUUUCACCAGUAGCGAAGAUUAAGUCUAUCAGGAUUAUGUUAGCCAUUGCUGCAUUUCAUGACCAUGACAUAUGGCAAAUGGAUGUCAAAACCGCUUUCCUUAAUAGAAAGUUGGCUGAGGAUGUUUACAUGAGUCAACCAGAGGGUUUUGUCAGUGCAGAGUACCAUAAUAGAGUGUGUAAGCUUGAGAAAUCCAUCUAUGGAUUAAAACAAGCACCUCGUAGAUGGAAUCUUUGUUUCGAUGAGAAAGUCAAAGAGUUUGGCUUUUCGAGGAGCAAAUAUCAAUCUUGUGUAUAUGUCAAGGCUAGUGGGAGUAUAGUUAUCUUUUUGGUAUUGUAUGUGGAUGACAUACUACUCAUAGGAAAUGACAUCCUAACUCCGCAGGAAGUGAAGUCCUGGCUUGGGAAGUGUUUCUCUAUGAAGGACCUUGGAGAAGCUGCCUAUAUCCUAGGGAUAAUAAUUUUUAGAGACAUGAGUAAAAGACUAAUUGGACCUAGUCAGAGCACCUAUGUGGAUAAAGUGUUGAAAAGGUUCAACAUGCAGAACUCCAAGAAAGGUGAGUUACCAAUCCAGAGUAAUGCCAGAUUGAGUAAGACUCAGAUCUCGAGUACAGAGGUUGAGAUAGCAGAGAUGACUCGAGUUCCGUAUGCUUCCACUGUAGGCUCGAUCAUGUAUGCUAUGACUUGUACUCAUUCGGAUGUGGCCUUUGCAUUAAGCAUGGUCAGUAGAUAUCAAGGGAAUCCUAGCAAGGAUCACUGGACUGUGUUAAAGAACAUUCUCAAGUACCUGCGGAGGACUAAGGACUAGGUCCUUACCCUCGGUGGGAGUGAUGACUUGAGAGUUGUAGGGUAUAGUGAUUCUAGCUUCCAGACUGAUAGGGAUAAUUUCCGCUCUCAUUCAGGCUUGGUCUUUACGUUAAACGGAGGAGCAAUUACUUGGAAAAGUUCCAAGAAAAAGACAGUGGUUGAUUCAACUUGCGAAUCCGAGUACAUAGCGACAAGCGAGGCAGCAAAGGAGGAUAUAUGGCUAAAGAACUUCAUUGGAGACCUUGGAGUUGUACCAGCUAUAAAGGAGCCUAUAGAGAUUUUCUGUGAUAGUGAAAGUGCAGUUGCCCUAACCAAGGAACCAAGGGAUCACGGGAGAUCCAGACACAUCAACAGAAAAUGCCAUUUCAUCAGACAUCGAAUAGAAGAAAGACUCCUCAUGGCAAAGAGGGUAUCAUUGGAUGAGAACCCAGCAAAUCCCUUCACAAAGGUACUGGCUAGGGUUAAGCAUCUCCAGCAUGCGAGGCGCAUAGGGCUGAAGGAUGAUAUUAGUUUUAGUAAUUGUAUAGUUUCUGAAAUGUGUAAAGUGUAAUUGACAUUUGAUGAUGAAUAAAAGUUGUUGUUGAUUUAUGAGUAAAGUGUUGCUAUCUUUUAUCAAUCGUUUAAUAUCGUUUCAUUUUGCAUGUUUUGACUUCCAGAAUAAUUAUGUUAUACCAUUUCAUAUUAUUCAAAUUCUCCACAGUCGAUCAUAUGUUGGAAGUAGAUAUGAAUCAAGAUGAUCAUGAAGUUGGUUGUAGAUAUAUAAGAUGUUGGACAUAGCAAAUUGUUGCUACAACACUCAUGAGUGCUCAUAAGUUCUAAGUAUUGGAUUCAACCUACGCUCGCUUGUAUCACUUCAUGGAAUUUAUCUUGAGUUAUCGUGAGACGGUAAUAUCAGAUAAGUCUUCAAACCUAGAGAUAUGAGUUGUUGCCUAUGAUUUGGUUAUAUAUUGAUUGUACAAAAACACAUUGGUAACUCGAUGUUAUAAAACAUGCCUUUGUGUAUGAUUCAACAAGUAGUAGAACAAGCAUAUGAGUCGAAGUUUAUUUAUUCCUUCUUGAAUUAGAAGCGAUAUCUGGGCCCCUCGAUGAUUUCGUGUUGACCCAUGUACCAGGCCCGAUUAGAACUAAGUUGAAGUGUUCAAUUAAGUUCUAUGUCAAACAAAUCGGAAAUCGAGAAACAAACUGUUGGACAAUAAGUAAGACAUUGUUCCAUGUAUUUGUCCGUCUGAUAUCUAGAACAGAGGACUAUAUGAUCCCUUAUCUAAAAUGGUGCUUCAUAGUUCCACAGAGUUUUAAGAGCUACGAUUGCCGGUCGGUUCCUGAAGUCAUAAUUGCAACUAUAGUUAAUAGACUUAUCCAAGGGAGAGACUGUUGGAUAAGGUGUCUAAGUCCAUAACUAUAUUUGAGAUGUACUUGACCCGACCCGACAUGCUUCACUUGGGUUGCAUUUCACCCGAGCAAUUUAUAUGGAUAAUCUUUUGAGAAUAGUAUAAGUUAUGAUUUAUUAAUAUAUUAUAAGUUCUAAUAUAUUAAUAAGAAAUCAUAUUAUUUAAUUAGUAUUGAUCUAAAAUUAAUUUAGAAUAAAUUUAGUGAACAAAAGUGUGACUAAUUAAAUAUGGACUCUUGUAUUUAUAUAAUGUGGGCUUAAUGCUUAUUUAGAAUGGGCUAGGCUUGCAUGGUAAGUCCAUGGAUAGUCCAUGGAGCUUUAACCCAUGGAUCUCAUGGAAAUGAAAGGUCAUGGGUAUUAGGGUUUACAUGGAUGUAACCCUAAUCCACAACAUUAUAUAAAGGAGUCCUUGGCACUUGAAAUGGCACUAGUUUUUGUGUGAGAACAAGGGUGGGCUGAUUUCAAGAAGAGUUCUACUAUUAUCUCAAGUUUCCAAGGUUUUGUGGUGAUUUGUGAAUUCCAUUUGAGGCAUCCACAUGAUUGGUGUAAGGCUCUCAAACUCCAAGCAAUCAACCACUACUAAAAGGUAUGUAACUCUACUAGUUUAUUAUGUUUCAAAGUUCCCCAUGCCAUGCUCGUUAGGUUAAGAACCUUGGAAAAGAAAAUUUACAUGUAUCAUAGUAAAACAUAGAUCCAAGGUUUCUAGGGUUGCAUGUGCACCAUAGGAGUGUUAGAAUGCUCAAAACCCUUCACCUUAAGUUUCAAUUAGAGUUUUUUGAGAAUAAGGACAGAUGAAACCUGAUCAUCUGCAAGUUUUUCCUUAAGCUUCAUAAGCUUUUCAAGCAUAGAAUUUGUUGAGGAUAAAUCUCAACUUAGAAAAGAAAUUAGGAUGGUUGUUGACUUCUAAAGAUAAGAUUCUUCAUUCACGAGGAUCUAUAGCGAUAAGGAUCCUUAAUGAUGAGAAUCCUUAGUGAUGAUAUCAUACGGGGGAAUUCCCUUCUUAGGAGAAUCUAUUUAGGUUAUAGACUUUGACAAUAUUCUUUGGUAAUAUCCUAAAUGCAACAUGUUAAUGUUAUAUACUGGGGAGGAUCCCAAUUUGUGACGUAUCUCAAGGGAAAUAUCCAUACUUAUGAAAAUGUUAUGAUUCAUGUCAAUGUGUGACAACAUGAAGAUGUCAUAACCUUAUGUAAUUUCUGGGGUAAUAUCCCAACUUUUGAUAACAUGAAAAUGUCAUAAGCCUUAAGUAAUCAUCAGGGUAGGAUCCCAAUUUUUGGAUAACAUGAAAAUGUUAUAAACGUUAAGGAUCUUAACUUAUGUUGAAAGAUAAGAGGGUUGCCAAGCCACUACAUCAUGAAAUGAUCUCCUUAAUGGUAUCCCAUAGAUAGAUAUCAUGCGUUCAAGUGAGGCGUAUAAACCUUAGUUCGCAUGAAAGAGGUGAUUAACUCCUUAAACCUUAGAGGGGAUUAAGUACCCUUAAGCAUAUGAUAGAUUAUCAAUCUCUAGCUUGUGUAUAUAAUCGUUUAAAGAUCAUACCGUUGAUAUAAUGGAAUUGUUCAAGUCUUAGUAUGUUGAGAUCUUUGUUUGUUAAGAUCCUUAUGUUUCAAGAUCUUCAACCUCGAGGAAUCUUUAUGUUUCGGGAUCUUGGAGAUCCUUAUGUUUCAAGAUCUUCAACCCUGAGGAUCCUCGUGUUCCAGGAUCUUCAACCUUGAGGAUCCUCAUGUUUGAGGAUCAUUUCUUAAGGAGAUCCUUAGUUGUAUGUUGUUCUGCAUAGCAAACAUUAGCUAGGGGUGGUCAUUAGUCUAGCUAACACCCCUACGAUGCUUAAGUUAGUAAUGUAUUCGAGGAGAAAAUAAGCAAUGAUGAAAAGUUUAAGGUAAAGAACAUGUGCACCUUGGUUUUAUUAAAGAUCAAUCAACCAAAUUUGUAUAUAGUAUGCUUUGAGAUGUAUAACAUUCCAGGUCUUGGAAAAAUGUUUCCUUUGUGUGUUGCUAGCCAAUAUGAUCCUUUUUCCUGCUUUAGCAUCUAUGAGAUACGGUCCUUCCCACUUAGGAGCUAAUUUACCAACACUAGGAUCCUUGGUGUUUUGGAAUGUUUUCCUUAAUACAAAGUCUCCUAUUUGGAAUCUUAUGACUUUUACGCUCUUGUUGUAAGCCUUGGUGAUCCUUUGUUGAUGAAGAGCAAUGCUUAUCUUGGCAAGAUCUUUGAGUUCAUCAAAAGUUUCAAGAUCCUAGGCUAGGAUCCUGUCAUUGUUUUUAUUUUUAUUUUGGAGCAAGUAUCUUGUCUUCGGGAUCACUACUUCGGUAGGGAUCAUUGCUUUUGUCUCGAACACCAAGGAAUAAGGGGUCUGACCUGUUUCUAUUUUGGAAAUGGUCCUAUCUGCCCACAGGACGAAAGGAAGCUCUUCUGCCCAUCUUCCUUUCUUCUUAUCAAGCCUUUUCUUAAAAUUGUUUACUGUGAUCUUAUUUCUAUAUUCUACUUGACCAUUAGCUUGGGGAUGGACAGGAGUGGACAUUAUCAUUCUGAUUCCCUAACUCGUGCAAAACUCUCUUAUUCUUUUGCUUAUGAAUUAGGAUCCAUUGUCGCAUAUGAUUUCAACCGGGAUGUCGAACCUAGUCAAGAUAUUACGUUUAAUAAACGAGGCUACCUCUUUAUCUCUUACCUAAACGAAGGCUUCAACUUCGAUCCACUUGGAAAAGUAAUCAGUCAUCACCAACAUGAAGAGUUUUCCUCCUGGAGCCAUUGGUAAAUUUCCCACUAUAUCCAUUCCCCAUUUCAUGAAUGGCCAUGGAGAGAUAAUAGGAUAUAGAGGCUUUGCCGGUUGAUACAAGAUGUUGCUAUGUCUUUGGCAAGCAUCACACUUUUAAGCAUGUACAAAAGAAUCUCUCUUCAUGGUUGGCCAGUAGUAUCCUAAUCUCAAUGCCUUGGAGCAUAAGGAUUUCCCCCAGUGUGAUUGCCAUAGUCUCAUUCAUGUAUGUCCUUCAAGACUUCUGCAGCUUCAGAAUCUACCAGGCAUGUGAAAUAUGGACCUGCCAUAGAUUGUUUUUAUGGAAAUUACCUUGGAUUAUUACGAAUCUUGAGACUCUUUUUUUGAAUGCUCUUUCGCUUUUUUCCUCUGUUGGGAUUGUACCAUUUUAAAGAUAUUCCAUAUUGGGUUGGAGUCAUAAUCGAGGACUUCUUUGAGGAUCCUAUUCGUCGGGAUCACUUCGAGGAGGGAUUUGAGGAUCAGGAUCUUCGAUGGCUGCUACGCUUAUUGGUUGUUCAAGAUUAUCAGAUUUUUCGGAAAAGGCUUCUAUAGCUGGAGUUAUUAUGUGGGUUAUAGGGAUCUUCGUUUCUGGUGGGAUUCGUAGGGAGGAUCCUAAGUUGGCUAAUGUGUCUGCUUCUGUUUUUUCUUCUCAGGGAACUUCGGUUAGGUUAAAUGUUGGGAAUUAGAGUUGCGUCAUUGUGUUAUAUUUAAUAGUCUAUUUAUGUAAACGGGCUUGGGCUUUUCCACCUGUCUUUAUUUAAUAGGGUUAUAGUAUUCAAGGUGCAUACAUGCACCAUGCUUUCUGUAAUCUAGGAAAUAGUCUUGUAACCCUACACGCCUCUACAGUAACAAUUCUUCAUCGAGUUCUUUUGAGGCAUGACUUUGAAUCAUUAAGCACAUUUUGAUCCAUUCUUGUGUUCCUAUUUUCUUUUACCUGUUUAAAUCUUUCAAUCUUUAAAGAUUUAAUCUCAACAAUUGGUAUCAGAGUAGGAGACUAUUUAAUCUAUACACAUCUCUUCUGUUGAAAGAAGCUCUUUAGGGUUUCCGCUAUUAUUGGAUCUGGUUUCAGCUGUUAUCAUUGUUUGUUCAUCUGUUGAUGAUGAUUUUGAUCUUAAUAUUACCCUAAUAUUGUUUACACAUUUGAUUCAUACAGGUUUUGAUCCAUAUACAAACUGUUGAGAGUUAUACACAUAUGUUUACACAUUGCAUUUCACCCGAACAAUUUAUGGAUAAUUUAUGAGAGUUAUACACAUAUGUUUAUUAAUAUAUUAUAAGUUAUAAUAUAUUAAUAUGAGGUUAUGUUAUUUAAUUAGUCUUAGUCUUAAAUUAAUGAUGAAUUAAUUUAGAGAUUAAAAGGAAGACUAAUUAGAUUAUGGGCUAUUGGUUUUAUAUGGUGUGGGCUAACACUCAUUUGUUAAUGGGCUAGGCUUGGAGGGAAGUCCAUGGAUGAUCCAUGGAGCUUUUAACCCAUGGAUCCUUGGAAAAGGAAAGGUCAUGGGUUAUUAGGGUUUCACCCUAACCAUGUACACUAUAUAAGCAUGCUUAUGAUGCAUGAAAUGGCAACUAGUGAACUAGUGUGUGUGCUUGUGUGUGGCCGAAAAUAUAAGUGUGUGUACACUGUCUCAAAGUUUUCCAAGAGUUUGUGGUGAUUUGUGAUUCCAUUUGAGGCAUUCACACUAUUGGUGCUUGGCCUUCAAACUCCUUAAGAAUCAAACUCAUCAAAAAGGUAUGUAAUCUCUUCUAACUCUUUUAUGUUGAAAUGUUCCCCAUGCCAUGUUAGAUAGGUUAUGAACCUUGGAAAAUUAUUAUUUUGCAUGUAUUUAGACAAACAUAGAUCCAAGGUUUAUUAGGGUUGCAUGCACACUUAGGAAGUGUUAGAUUGCUCAAAACCCAACAGUGGUAUCAGAGCCUAGGCUUGCUUGUUUGAUACUUGAUGCAAAAUAGUGGAAAAAGUCGAAAACGUUGCUGUCUGCAUGCUAGACUCGCCGAGUCCAUUGGGGGGACUCGCCGAGUCCAAGGCAAACUUCAACCUACUCGACGAGUCCGUUCGUGCACUCGGCGAGUAGGAUCGAAAGAAUGCAGAAUCUCGACUUUUGCUGCUGGAAAUGGACUGGAAACAUUACCCUAAAUUGUUUUGGUGUUGUAAAACUUAUUUUAGUUGGUGUAAUGGUUGUUCUAAUCCAUUUACAAUAGCAUAUAUCAAAAAUCCAUGAUUUUAUGUGUUCAUAUAAUUCUUGAAUUUUUGAUGAUCAUGUUCAUGUUCUUAUGAAUUUAGAAAAUGAUAGGAAUUAUUUGCUGAAUUGUUUAGAAUUAAUUCUUAAUCAUUUAUGUGUUUUAAUGGAGUCCAUAAUUUGUCCUCAAGUUAUGGAUUACCAAAGGUCACUUUCAUUUAACACACACUUAAAACACAUAAGUUACAUGAAAAUGAAGAGUCUUCAUUUUUAUGAACCUUUAAUUCAUAAGUUAUGAAAUGAAGAGUUUUGCAAAGUUACAAAACUUGUCCUCAAGUUUUGGAAUUUGUAAAGUUUCACACACUUUAAUAAACUUUAAUUCCAAACCUUAGAGUUUUAAUAGUUAAAAUUCAACCCUUAUACUAUUUAUAACAUUAAUGGUUAAUUAUUAUAUAUAUGUAUAAGAAUAAGUCGUUUUACCGUUAGUAGGCCUCAUUCACGAAGCCGGUCUAUAAGGUGGGUAUAAGGUUGUUGCCUAUAAAAUGGCGACUUAAUGGGUGUAUACUCUCACCCACCGCUUGCUUGAUCGGUGGAGGGUCGUUAGCCGAACGGGUAGAACAACGACUUUAAAUCCUCAUUAAAAGUAUAAUGAAUAUUAUAAAAUAACUAAACUCUUUUAAUUCCCAAUCUUAGUUAUUUUAGGAAAAUGUGAACAUGGUGCUAAUCCAUGGAAUUCACACUUUGUACCUUACCAAGUCGUUAGUGGAGCGUGUGUGGUUAACCGGCACACUAAUUAGACUAGUAAGGAUCACGAAGGGUAACUUAAUGUUGUCAUAGAUCAAUGGAGCGUGUGUGGUUAACCGGCACAUUGAUUAGGUGAUAAUAUUAGGAGUACCAAGUGAGUUAGCAUGGUUAUUCACACCUUGUUUUGUGAUCCUCGGCAUCCCAGUCACAAAACUUGAAGGGCACAAUCGAGAUUGAAACAUGCCAUUGAAAAGUUCAAUGAAUCUCAAAAGAAUCUAGGAAUUUCAAAUCCAAUUAAACCUAAUUAAUCAUUUCGUUUUCAUGGUGGAAAUUGGUGAAUCGUCAUUCGCCUACCUUUCAAAUAUAUUAUUACUUAGAUUACGGCAUCCCUCUUCUAAGUGUAAUAUAUUGUGAUUGGAUCCUAGCCUUAAUAUUACAUUUGGGUGUCUUAUUAAGGAUCCUAAAUAUCUAAUCUAAACUUACUUUCUUCUUUCAGAUGUCUUCCAACACUAAUGCUUCAGGCUCUAACCCAACUGGUUCUUUCUCUCUCAUGAAUCUUUGUGGGAGGGUCAUCUUUGAUGGUUCCAACUUCAUGGAUUGGAUUAGGAACAUCAGGAUGGUUACUCGUUACGAGGACAAGGAAUAUGUCCUCGAUAAGGAGUUAAAAGAACUUGAUGAGUCUACUGCUACUCCUGAGGAGAUCGCUGAAUUCAGGACUCAUGAGAGAGAUGCUACUAAGGUGGCAUGUAUCAUGAUGGCCACGAUGACAGCCGAGCUCCAAAAGUCAUAUGAAGAUUUCUACCCUUUUGAGAUGCACCAAGACUUGAUGGAAAGGUACCAUCAGAGUGCUCGUCAGGAGCGGUAUGAAAUAAUCUCCUCCAUAAUAACUACCCGCAUGAAGGACGGUGAAUCCGUCACGGGCCACAUGCAAAAGAUGCAAAGGUAUGUGGACCGUUUGCUGAAGCUGAAUGUUAACAUCCCCGAGGAGUUAGCAAUUGACAUCAUUUUGCACUCCUUGCCUUCUUGUUAUGAUCAUUUUCGAAUGACAUAUCAUAUGAACAAGGAGGAAGUUACCCUCAGCAAGCUUCAAGNUUGAUGAAGCUAAAUGUGAACAUCCCUGAGGAGUUGGCAAUUGACAUCAUUUUGCACUCCUUACCUUCUUGUUAUGACCAAUUUCGUAUGACAUUUCAUAUGAAUAAGGAGGAAGUUACCUUCAACAAGCUUCAAGGACUCUUGAAGACCGCGGAAACCGGUCUUAAGGGCAAGGCAGUUGUUACCUCUACUACUCCUACUCCAACAUCUACCCCUGUUUUGGCUAUCGGGCAAGGCAAAGGGAAAAAGAGGAAGCACCCUUCGAAGGGUACCAAGGGAAAGUCUCUUGAAGGCUCCUCAUCCAAGACUAAGAACGGUUCUGUCACUCCUUCUGCCAUUCCAAAGGAUGCUGAAUGCUUUUAUUGCCAUGAAAAGGCACACUGGAAGCGAAACUGCCCUAAGUACUUGCAGGAUCUAAAGGAUGGGAAAGUGAAACCCACCUAUGCAGGUAUUUACACUAUAUUGUCUAAUUACUCAACAUAUUCUAACUCUUGGGUGCUUGAUACAGGAUGUGGUAUUCACAUAUGUUCUGAUUUGCAGGGCCUAAGAAGAAGUGAGGAUGUGGAGCACGGGAAGAUAAACUUAAUCAUGGGGAAUAGGAAGGCUUCACCUGUUUCCAAGAUUGGAGUUUAUACUUUGUUGCUUAAUAAUGGGUUAAAAUUAGAUUUGAAUAAAUGUGUAUACUCGUCUGAAAUGGCGAGGAAUAUUAUUUCUUUUCAUGCUUUGUACAAACAAGGUUUUACCUUUUCGUUUGAUAAUGAAUGUGGUGGUAUUAAUGCUUUCUUUAAUAAUGUGUUUUAUUUUAAAGCAUUACCUUGUGAUGGCGUGUAUGAAACUGUGUCGAUUGUAGACAACUUAGGAAAUAAUGUGUUGUAUAUUGAUUCUUCUACUAGCCUAGAUAAAGCAUCAUUGUGGCAUUGUCGUCUUGGACAUGUAAACAAGAAACGCAUAGACCAACUCCAAAAGAGUGGAGUCUUGGAAUCAUUUGACCUCAAAUCAGAUGAUAGUUGUGAAUCUUGUCUACUUGGAAAAAUGACAAAAUCACCCUUCACUGGAACUUGUGAGAGGGGUGAAGGUUUGUUGGACCUAAUACAUACUGAUGUAUGUGGGCCAUUCAAAACCGCCACAAGGGACGCUAAUCGGUAUUAUGUGACUUUUAUUGAUGAUUAUAGUAGAUAUGGGUAUGUCUACUUGAUCAAACACAAGUCCGAAACCUUUGAAAGGUUUAAGGAAUUCAAACAGGAAGUAGAAAAUCAAUUGGGCAGGAACAUUAAGAUGCUUCGAUCCGAUCGAGGUGGUGAGUAUCUUAGUACCGAGUUCCUUGACUAUCUUAAGGAGUGUGGGAUUGUCUCACAAUUGACUCCUCCCAGGACACCACAGCUGAAUGGUGUAGCUGAGAGGCGUAAUCGUACCUUGUUGGACAUGGUUCGCUCUAUGAUGAGUCGAGUUUCGUUACCAAUCUCUUUUUGGGGGUAUGCCUUAGAGACUGCCGCCCAUAUCCUUAAUCUAGUCCCUACAAAGAAGGUUACCAAAACACCUCAUGAGAUGUGGACUGGGAAGGUUCCCAAUUUGGAC
RNAcentral lists this long non-coding RNA (19698 nucleotides) under Lactuca sativa (garden lettuce). Its description in RNAcentral is "long non-coding RNA (LSAT_LNC007378)". The record is from RNAcentral. Lineage: Eukaryota; Viridiplantae; Streptophyta; Magnoliopsida; Asterales; Asteraceae.